Molecule: ribosomal RNA, 429 nt
Filed under: Gemmatimonadota bacterium
Lineage: Bacteria; Pseudomonadati; Gemmatimonadota
Description: Gemmatimonadetes bacterium partial 16S ribosomal RNA
Rfam family: Bacterial small subunit ribosomal RNA
Source: RNAcentral
UAGGGAAUCUUCGGCAAUGGACGAAAGUCUGACCGAGCAACGCCGCGUGAGUGAAGAAGGUUUUCGGAUCGUAAAACUCUGUUGUUAGAGAAGAACAAGGACGUUAGUAACUGAACGUCCCCUGACGGUAUCUAACCAGAAAGCCACGGCUAACUACGUGCCAGCAGCCGCGGUAAUACGUAGGUGGCAAGCGUUGUCCGGAUUUAUUGGGCGUAAUGCGAGCGCAGGCGGUUUCUUAAGUCUGAUGUGAAAGCCCCCGGCUCAACCGGGGAGGGUCAUUGGAAACUGGGAGACUUGAGUGCAGAAGAGGAGAGUGGAAUUCCAUGUGUGGCGGUGAAAUGCGUAGAUAUAUGGGGGAACACCAGUGGCGAAGGCGGCUCUCUGGUCUGUCACUGACGCUGAGGCUCGAAAGCGUGGGGAGCAAACAGG